This 398-nucleotide ribosomal RNA is filed under the name uncultured bacterium. RNAcentral describes it as "partial 16S ribosomal RNA". It matches the Rfam family "Bacterial small subunit ribosomal RNA", at positions 523 to 918 of the family's 1533-position model. The record is from RNAcentral.
AUACGUAGGGUGCGAGCGUUGUCCGGAAUUACUGGGCGUAAAGAGCUCGUAGGUGGUUUGUCGCGUCGUCUGUGAAAUUCCGGGGCUUAACUCCGGGCGUGCAGGCGAUACGGGCAUAACUUGAGUACUGUAGGGGAGACUGGAAUUCCUGGUGUAGCGGUGAAAUGCGCAGAUAUCAGGAGGAACACCGGUGGCGAAGGCGGGUCUCUGGGCAGUAACUGACGCUGAGGAGCGAAAGCAUGGGUAGCGAACAGGAUUAGAUACCCUGGUAGUCCAUGCCGUAAACGGUGGGCGCUAGGUGUAGGGGUCUUCCACGACUUCUGUGCUGUAGCUAACGCAUUAAGCGCCCCGCCUGGGGAGUACGGCCGCAAGGCUAAAACUCAAAUGAAUUGGCGGGG